This is a long non-coding RNA of Oncorhynchus masou masou (cherry salmon), 849 nucleotides long. RefSeq lists it as uncharacterized. The record is from RefSeq and is a predicted model, not a curated record. The transcript has 5 exons. Lineage: Eukaryota; Metazoa; Chordata; Actinopteri; Salmoniformes; Salmonidae.
CCACACACCACACACCACACACACACACACACACACACACACACACACACACACACACACACACACACACACACACACACACACACACACACACACACACACACACACACACAGUGUUACAACAGUUAACCUCUCUCUUCCUCCCUCGCUCUCUACUCCUCCCCUCUCUUUAAGUUUCCUCCCCCAAUCCUUGACUUAACAUGCUGCUUCAGUCUCACAGUGGAGACACUCAGAGAGCACCACAGAGAGAGACAGCAGCAGCAAACCAAAGACCGCACUACUACUGUCCCCCUCUCCACCUCUUCUCUCCACUACUACUGUCCCCCUCUCCACCUCUUCUCCACUUCUUCUCUCUCUCUGUGUCUCCCUUGUUCAUCUUGUCAGGUCAGUGUGGAUGUGAGAUGGGUUGUGGAUAUUCCUCAACGACCAGCACGGCUGGAGGAGGUCCAGGCGAAGCCCCCAAAGAAGAAGUCACAGAGGAGUCUGCACAAGAAGAAGAAAAAAGGAUGAACUAUGGAGGUGUGUAUGUGGGACUACCAGCAGACCUGAGCAUUAUGCCUCCUAUCCAGAUGGGAACACACCAAGAUGAGUGAAGCAUCAUUGAAACACCUUUCACUAAAGGUAUGAUGUCAACAGCUCCAAUCUCAAUAUCAGAUGUCAAUAUCCUAUGUUAAACUCUCUGCCUCAAUCUCAGAAGUUCAUCUUUUGGGACUCUCACACCCACGACAGAGAGGGAGAGAGAGAACCUUCAGGAUAAUGAUGAUGUCAACAAGAAUGAAGGAAUGAAUUGUUCUCUUUGAUCUCUGAUUGGCACCAUGGGACCCAGUAGAACCCCUGGGGGACCAAUCA